ACCUUUUCAAGUUUGCACUCCUAUGGCGCUCCGUAUGAAGCAGUGCAAUAUUGAAAAAGGGUAC
Molecule: microRNA precursor, 64 nt
Filed under: Petromyzon marinus (sea lamprey)
Lineage: Eukaryota; Metazoa; Chordata; Hyperoartia; Petromyzontiformes; Petromyzontidae
Description: Pma-Mir-130-P4o3_pre stem-loop
Source: RNAcentral